GGGGCUGACUGGAUUUGACAGCGGAUUGGGAUAUUGCGUAAGCAUGCGGAGUAAAGACUGUCAACUCCAUAAUCAUGUCGGUCAAAAAAUUAACUGGCGAAAACAAGUACGCUCUCGCUGCUUAAUCGAAGUAUAGUAGAUUAACUUUAUCCCUUUGCGAGGCAGAGGGACGGGACAUCGCUCAGAGCCCUCUCCUUGAGGCUGACUGGUUAAAGCGGUGCUAUAAUAUCAGGGAUAGCCUGUGGCCUGCCUCUAUCCAUUGGCGAAGUUUUCUGAGGCUAAGAUGUCAGUUGGUGGUUCAGGUCUUGCUGACAUACGAAAAUCAAAGGCUGAAAUAAGCAUGUAGAAAGCGUAAGGUCACACCGUUUGGACGAGGGUUCGACUCCCUCCAGCUCCAC
This 398-nucleotide transfer-messenger RNA is filed under the name uncultured Prevotella sp. It matches the Rfam family "transfer-messenger RNA". From Rfam's summary of the family: Bacterial tmRNA, also known as 10Sa RNA or SsrA, is named for its dual tRNA and mRNA-like properties. Its role is to liberate the mRNA from a stalled ribosome. Lineage: Bacteria; Pseudomonadati; Bacteroidota; Bacteroidia; Bacteroidales; Prevotellaceae. The record is from RNAcentral.